Molecule: microRNA precursor, 229 nt
Filed under: Sorghum bicolor (sorghum)
Lineage: Eukaryota; Viridiplantae; Streptophyta; Magnoliopsida; Poales; Poaceae
Description: MIR6217 microRNA precursor family
Rfam family: MIR6217 microRNA precursor family
Source: Rfam by way of RNAcentral
UAGACACACACAAAUAACUUAUUCUGUAGCCACUUUGAGUUACGAUAAUUACAAUAUUAAUUUAUAAGAUUACAGUAACUCCAUACUAACUACUUUACUAUGACGUUAUGUUAAAUUCUUCAUGUGUUAUAGUAACCCAGCUAUCAUAAAUAUGUAUAGAUAUUAUCGUAAAUUAAUAUAUAAAAUUAUUGUAAAUGGAGGUGGCUAUAAAAUAACUUUUUUGUAGCUA